GGUUGCGAUCAUACCAGCACUAAUGCAACGGAUCCCAUCAGAACUCCGCAGUUAAGCGUGCUUGGGCGAGAGUAGUACUAGGAUGGGUGACCCCCUGGGAAGUCCUCGUGUUGCAACCC
This 119-nucleotide ribosomal RNA is filed under the name Helianthus annuus (common sunflower). Lineage: Eukaryota; Viridiplantae; Streptophyta; Magnoliopsida; Asterales; Asteraceae. The record is from RNAcentral.